GCCGACAUAGCUCAGCUGGUAGAGCAGCUGAUUUGUAAUCAGCCGGUCGUUGGUUCAAUUCCGACUGUCGGCUCCA
RNAcentral lists this transfer RNA (76 nucleotides) under Candidatus Margulisiibacteriota bacterium. RNAcentral's name for it is "tRNA-Thr". It matches the Rfam family "tRNA". From Rfam's summary of the family: Transfer RNA (tRNA) molecules are approximately 80 nucleotides in length. Their secondary structure includes four short double-helical elements and three loops (D, anti-codon, and T loops). The record is from RNAcentral. Lineage: Bacteria; Bacillati; Candidatus Margulisiibacteriota.